Molecule: long non-coding RNA, 1026 nt
Organism: Columba livia (rock pigeon)
Lineage: Eukaryota; Metazoa; Chordata; Aves; Columbiformes; Columbidae
Exons: 4
Source: RefSeq, a predicted model, not a curated record
AUUUUAUUCUGUAGUAUGCUCUGAGGAACGCGGCAUUUUGCCAGAUUUCAAAAUGGCCUCGUUUAUCACCUAAAUCCCCUGUGAAAGCUAUGGAAUAAGGUAAUUGGAUCUGGUGCCUUGGGGAGCUGCCAGGCAUGAUGUCACAGCUCUGCAGAAAAAAAUACCCUAUGUAAGUGCUUGAUACACUAGCUAACAUCUCAUCCCGGUGGAGCGAGGAACUCUGGGUUUGGGGAUUGCUGAGAUUUCAGAGGCUCAGGACUUUUUGGUCAAGAGUUAAGGAGUCCAGCCAGCAAGGAUCUGGCAGGGUGAGACAUUUGGGCCCCAGCACUCUUCCCACAGUUCAUCUGCGAGGCUGAAUCCAUUGCUAGAGGAAACAUUUGCCCUGAGCAAAAUAGGACCUGGAUGUAACAAGGUGCUUGCACAUGCCUCAGGAGACCUCACAAGAAAACUGAAGCCUUGUGUGUCAGAUACGACCUGCUCUGGAACUCCCAAGUGAACAGAUGGCUUUGCUGCAAGACUGGUUUUGUCCUCUCCACUACUGCAGCUGAUGUGAUGUGAUGCUGAUUAACCUGGAAAACUCAGCAAGUCCUGAGAAACAAUCAUUUUUUGAUAGGUCACAUUCUCCAGUUAGAAGAGACCCAUCCUGCCUUUCUACCAUCCAGAUGUCCAGUUCCGCAGGUGAUAAUAACCAUUCCAUUGGGCUGGUUCUUGCACAAGCACAAAUAUCAUAUUUCUUAGCUAUCUGUCAUAGCUGUUUGUUCAGGCAGGUCACCAAAAGCUGGAUUAGGUCUCUUGUCAUGUUCUCUAACACCCUUGUAUUUCUAACCCUGCCAGUCCAGGCCUUCCCCUAGCUUCCUGUGGCUUUGAUGCAGGGAUGUAAUUUCCAACUUUCUUGCCUUAGUCCAACCCUGCUGAAGUGACUCUCUCAUUUAGAUGUUAGACCUGUGCGGUGUUCAGGCUGUUCUGGAUAGCUUGGAAAUGAUUAUGACAGAGUCUGAAAUAAAGGCAAGAGGGUUUCAGUUUCCA